RNAcentral lists this ribosomal RNA (261 nucleotides) under uncultured bacterium. RNAcentral's name for it is "partial small subunit ribosomal RNA". It matches the Rfam family "Bacterial small subunit ribosomal RNA", at positions 26 to 288 of the family's 1533-position model. The record is from RNAcentral.
AGGACGAACGCUGGCGGCGUGCUUAACACAUGCAAGUCGAGCGGAAAGGCCCUUUCGGGGGUACUCGAGCGGCGAACGGGUGAGUAACACGUGAGUAACCUGCCCUUGGCUUUGGGAUAACCCUCGGAAACGGGGGCUAAUACCGAAUAUUCACUGCUCCUCGCAUGGGGGGUGGUGGAAAGAUUUUUUGGCUGGGGAUGGGCUCGCGGCCUAUCAGCUUGUUGGUGGGGUGAUGGCCUACCAAGGCGACGACGGGUAGCC